Molecule: ribosomal RNA, 459 nt
Filed under: uncultured bacterium
Lineage: Bacteria
Description: partial 16S ribosomal RNA
Rfam family: Bacterial small subunit ribosomal RNA
Source: RNAcentral
CCUACGGGAGGCAGCAGUGAGGAAUAUUGGUCAAUGGUCGGGCGACUGAACCAGCCAAGCCGCGUGAGGGAGGAAGGUCCAGAGUAUCGUAAACCUCUUUUGUCAGGGAACAACGCCUGGGACGCGUCCCCGGAUGAGUGUAACUGAAGCAAAAGCAUCGGCUAAAUCCGUGCCAGCCGCCGCGGUAAUACGGGGGAUGCGAGCGUUCCCCGGAUUUAUUGGGUUUAAGGGGUGCGCGGGCGGUAGGUUAGGUCAGCGUUCAAAGCCCGGGGCUCAACCCCGGCCCGCCGUUGAAACUGGCAGUCUCGAGUUGGAGAGAAGUAUGCGGAAUGCGCGGUGUAGCGGUGAAAUGCAUAGAUAUCGCGCAGAACUCCGAUUGCGAAGGCAGCAUGCCGGCUCCACACUGACGCUGAGGCACGAAAGCGUGGGUAUCGAACAGGAUUAGAUACCCCAGUAGUC